Molecule: ribosomal RNA, 230 nt
Filed under: uncultured bacterium
Lineage: Bacteria
Description: partial 16S ribosomal RNA
Rfam family: Bacterial small subunit ribosomal RNA
Source: RNAcentral
UACAUGGGGGUGCAAACGUUGCUCGGAAUUAUUGGGCGUAAAGCGCACGUAGGCGGUUCGUUAAGUCGGAUGUGAAAGCCCGUCCGGCUCAACUGAGGAAGUGCACCCGAAACUGGCGAGCUUGAGUACGAAAGAGGAUCGCGGAAUUCCCGGUGUAGAGGUGAAAGUUCGUAGAUAUCGGGGAAGGAACACCAGUGGCGGAAGGCGGUUGCCCUGGGGCUUUGCUGACG